UCAAACGUUUUAAGGGCAUUUGGUGAAUACCUUGGCGCAUAGAGGCGAUGAAGGACGUGGCAUGCUGCGAAAAGCUUCGGGGAGUUGCAAGCAAACUUUGAUCCGAAGAUAUCCGAAUGGGGAAACCCACCGCAUUAGCGGUAUCGCUACCUGAAUAUAUAGGGUAGCGAAGCGAACCUGGUGAACUGAAACAUCUAAGUAGCCAGAGGAAAGGACAUCAACCGAGACUCCGUUAGUAGUGGCGAGCGAACGCGGACCAGGCCAGUGGUCAUAUUUAACAAACUGGAACUGUCUGGAAAGGCAGGCCAUAGUGGGUGAUAGCCCCGUACAGGUAAAGUUAUUUAUGAUCCUCGAGUAGGGCGGGACACGUGAAAUCCUGUCUGAAAUUGGGGGGACCACCCUCCAAGCCUAAGUACUCCUAUGCGACCGAUAGUGAACAAGUACCGUGAGGGAAAGGUGAAAAGCACCCCGACAAGGGGAGUGAAAUAGAUCUUGAAACCGAAUGCCUACAAGCAGUAGGAGCACCUUUAUGGUGUGACUGCGUACCUUUUGUAUAAUGGGUCAGCGAGUUAAUCUUUGCAGCAAGCUUAAGCCGGUAGGUGUAGGCGCAGCGAAAGCGAGUCUUAAUAGGGCGAUUUAGUUGCAGGGAUUAGACCCGAAACCGGGUGAUCUAGCCAUGAGCAGGUUGAAGGUGCAGUAACAUGCACUGGAGGACCGAACCCACCAACGUUGAAAAGUUGGGGGAUGACUUGUGGCUAGGGGUGAAAGGCCAAUCAAACCCGGAAAUAGCUGGUUCUCCGCGAAAUCUAUUUAGGUAGAGCGUCAUGUAUCAUCAUCGGGGGUAGAGCACUGGAUGGGCUAGGGGGUCCCAACGACUUACCAAACCUAACCAAACUCCGAAUACCGAUGAAUGCAGCAUGGCAGACAGGCAGUGGGUGCUAAGAUCCAUUGCCGAGAGGGAAACAGCCCAGACCGCCAGCUAAGGUCCCUAAGUUAUGGCUAAGUGGGAAAGGAUGUGGGAAGGCCAAAACAACCAGGAGGUUGGCUUAGAAGCAGCCACCCUUUAAAGAAAGCGUAAUAGCUCACUGGUCUAGAUAAGCCGGCCUGCGCCGAAGAUGUACCGGGGCUAAAGCCAUACACCGAAGCUGCGGAUUCAGACUUUUAGUCUGAGUGGUAGCGGAGCGUUCUGUAAGCCUGUGAAGGGUAACCGCGAGGUUAUCUGGAGGUAUCAGAAGUGAGAAUGCUGACAUGAGUAGCGAGAUGAGUGUGAGAAACACUCACGCCGAAAGUCCAAGGGUUCCUGCGUAAAGCUAAUCUGCGCAGGGUUAGUCGGCCCCUAAGGCGAGGGCGAAAGCCGUAGUCGAUGGGAAUGAGGUUAAUAUUCCUCAACCUGCUAGAAGUGACGAAUAGGGUAAAUUGUGAGUUCUUAUUGGAUUGAACUUGCCGUGAACCUGUUCCAGGAAAUAGCUCUAGCGUAUAGACCGUACCCCAAACCGACACAGGUGGACUGGUAGAGUAUACCGAGGCGUUUGAGAGAACUAUGUUGAAGGAACUCGGCAAAAUGACCCCGUAACUUCGGGAGAAGGGGUACCCUCUUUAAGGCAACUUAAGGGGGGUGGCACAGAAUUGGGGGUGGCGACUGUUUAUUAAAAACAUAGGACUCUGCGAAGUCGCAAGACGACGUAUAGGGUCUGACGCCUGCCCGGUGCUGGAAGGUUAAGAGGAGCGGUGAGAGCUGCGAAUUGAAGCCCCAGUAAACGGCGGCCGUAACUAUAACGGUCCUAAGGUAGCGAAAUUCCUUGUCGGGUAAGUUCCGACCUGCACGAAUGGCGUAACGACUUCCCCGCUGUCUCCAACAUAGACUCAGCGAAAUUGAAUUCUCCGUGAAGAUGCGGAGUACCCGCGGUCAGACGGAAAGACCCCGUGCACCUUUACUACAGCUUUGCAGUGGUAUCAGGAUUUAAAUGUGUAGGAUAGGUGGGAGCCUUUGAAGCAGUAACUCUAGUUAUUGUGGAGGCAUCCUUGAAAUACCACCCUUUUGACUUUUGGUAUCUAACCGCGGACCGUUAUCCGGUUCCGGUACCCGGCAUGGUGGGUAGUUUGA
Molecule: ribosomal RNA, 2104 nt
Filed under: metagenome
Description: bacterial LSU rRNA
Rfam family: Bacterial large subunit ribosomal RNA
Source: RNAcentral